Molecule: long non-coding RNA, 1300 nt
Filed under: Homo sapiens (human)
Lineage: Eukaryota; Metazoa; Chordata; Mammalia; Primates; Hominidae
Description: HSALNT0091640
Source: RNAcentral
GAAAUGAGACAUCAAUCAAAUGCAUCUAUGAAAUACAUUAGUUUGGUUCAGAAAAGCGGGACAACUCAAAGCUUGGGGGGGUUGGGGGGGUUGUUCCAGGUUAUAGGUAAAUUUACACAUUUUCUGGUGACAAUUGGUUGAGUUUGUCUAAAGACCUGGGAUUGAUAGAAAGGAAAUGUUCAGGUUAAGAUAAAAGAUUAUGGAGACCAAGGUUCUUUUUAAGUGUUUUUUUUUUUUUUUUUUGAGAGGGAGUCUCACUCUGUCAUCCAGGCUUGAGUACAGUGGCACAAUCUCGGCUCACUGCAACCUUCACCUCCCAGGUUCAAGGAAUUCUCCUGUUUCAGCCUCCCUAGUAGCUGGGACUACAGGCAUGUGCCACCAUGCCCAGCUAAUUUUUUGUAUUUUGAGUAGAGACAGAGUUUCACCAUGUUGGCCUGGCUGGUCUCAAAUUCCUGACCUCAAGUGAUCCACCUGCGGAGGCCUCACAAAGUGCUGAGGUUACAGGUGUGAGCCACCAGGCCCAGCCUCUUUUGGAAAUUUUACAGUGGCUGCUGUUAGAGUCAACAGAUGACAAAUGUUUCCUAUUCAGAUCUUUAAAAGGUGCUAGACUUUUAGUUAAUCUCUUCAGGAUUGGGAGGGCCUGGAAGAAAAAGAUCUAGCUAUGUUAAUAGAGAUUCUUUACAGAUGCAGAUAUUCCCCCACAAAGAAAGGCCUUGCAGGGCCAUUUAAAAUAUGGCAGGGAAACAUGUUUUGGGGUAAAAUAUUUUGCUUUUCUUUCUUUUCUUGUAAUGUUAUCCAGAGUCAGAUUGGAAAGUCAUGAUAUAUAGAGUUAAAUAAAACCCAUCUGAUAAGAAUUUCUGGUUUGUAGGGCAUGACUCCCCAGACCUCUUAGAAAUUUGGGCAAGAUAAAAAAAAAUCAGACCUUAGUCCUCAUAAAUAUUACAAGGCAUUAGCUAAUGGUGUAUCAACUGAGUGAUACAAGUAUCAAAUAAUCUAGCAGUCCUGCAGCAGGGAGCUCCCUAUGGGCAGAUGGAGAUAGGAAAGGCAAGCCCCAAGAAAAAGGAAGGCAAAGGAUUUCCUAAAGGUUGGGAGCCAGUGAUCUUCCAAUAUCCAUAGCUUCACAGGCCCCACAGUUGGAGACAUUUUAAUCUCUCACUAUACAUAGGUUCAAGCCCUCUCCAACUUGAGGAACGAUCCACAACUAGUAAAGAAAGGAUGGCCGGGCGUGGUGGCUCAUGCCUGUAAUCCCAGCACUUUGGGAGGCUGAGGUGGGAGGAUCACAAGAUCAGGAGUUCGAGAC